GCCCUACGGGUGGCAGCAGUGGGGAAUAUUGCACAAUGGGGGAAACCCUGAUGCAGCCAUGCCGCGUGUGUGAAGAAGGCCUUCGGGUUGUAAAGCACUUUCAGCGAGGAGGAAAGGUCAGUAGCUAAUAUCUGCUGGCUGUGACGUUACUCGCAGAAGAAGCACCGGCUAACUCCGUGCCAGCAGCCGCGGUAAUACGGAGGGUGCAAGCGUUAAUCGGAAUUACUGGGCGUAAAGCGCACGCAGGCGGUUGGAUAAGUUAGAUGUGAAAGCCCCGGGCUCAACCUGGGAAUUGCAUUUAAAACUGUCCAGCUAGAGUCUUGUAGAGGGGGGUAGAAUUCCAGGUGUAGCGGUGAAAUGCGUAGAGAUCUGGAGGAAUACCGGUGGCGAAGGCGGCCCCCUGGACAAAGACUGACGCUCAGGUGCGAAAGCGUGGGGAGCAAACAGGAUUAGAUACCCGAGUAGUC
This 467-nucleotide ribosomal RNA is filed under the name uncultured Aeromonadaceae bacterium. Its description in RNAcentral is "bacterial SSU rRNA". It matches the Rfam family "Bacterial small subunit ribosomal RNA", at positions 335 to 795 of the family's 1533-position model. Lineage: Bacteria; Pseudomonadati; Pseudomonadota; Gammaproteobacteria; Aeromonadales; Aeromonadaceae. The record is from RNAcentral.